AUGGUUGAGCAUCUCUUUGAGGAUAUCUUCACUUUGACCAGGAUCGAUCCUGAUGGGAAGAAGUUCGACAUAUUUAAUCGCAGCGAGGCUAGAUGCGAGCAGUUCGAUAUGUUGAUGGAAUUAGAUGUCGCUACUGAUGUCUACCCGAUUCAUACUGGUGAAAAUUUCACCAUGGUUUUGACUCCUACACUGAAUCUGGAUGGAACUCCAGACACUGGCUACUAUACAGAGGCUGGUAGGAAAACCCUUGCUGGCAAGUAUGACUAUGUCAUGCAUGGAAAGCUUUACAAGAUUUCAGAGGACAGUUCCAGUGGUCAUGCUACUAAAGUGUAUGAUCUCUGA
Molecule: ribosomal RNA, 342 nt
Filed under: Triticum aestivum (bread wheat)
Lineage: Eukaryota; Viridiplantae; Streptophyta; Magnoliopsida; Poales; Poaceae
Description: partial small subunit ribosomal RNA
Source: RNAcentral